AUCCAGCUGACGAGCCCCAAAUAGUAGGAAACGCGCGUCCUGGAU
This is a non-coding RNA of Schistosoma rodhaini, 45 nucleotides long. NCBI's taxonomy places the organism in Eukaryota, Metazoa, Platyhelminthes, Trematoda, Strigeidida, Schistosomatidae. The record is from Rfam.